RNAcentral lists this ribosomal RNA (704 nucleotides) under uncultured fungus. RNAcentral describes it as "eukaryotic LSU rRNA". The stretch from base 270 to 424 matches the Rfam family "5.8S ribosomal RNA". Lineage: Eukaryota; Fungi. The record is from RNAcentral.
CUUGGUCAUUUAGAGGAAGUAAAAGUCGUAACAAGGUUUCNGUAGGUGAACCUGCGGAAGGAUCAUUACCGAAUCGUCAAACACGGGUUGUUGCUGGCCCCCGAAAGGGGCAUGUGCACGCUCUGUUUACACAUCCACUCACACCAGUGCACCCUCUGUAGUUCUAUGGUUCGGAAGACCCCGUCUUUCUUCCGUAGCUCUACGUCUUUACACACACACUGUAGUGACGUCUCAUGGAAUGUUUUUAUGCGUUUAACGCGAUACAAUACAACUUUCAGCAACGGAUCUCUUGGCUCUCGCAUCGAUGAAGAACGCAGCGAAAUGCGAUAAGUAAUGUGAAUUGCAGAAUUCAGUGAAUCAUCGAAUCUUUGAACGCACCUUGCGCCCCUUGGUUAUUCCUUGGAGCAUGCCUGUUUGAGUAUCAUGAACACCUCAACUCUCGUGGUCUUCCGCGAUGAGCUUGGACUUUGGAGGUUUGCUGGCCCUGCGGCCGGCUCCUCUCAAAUGAAUCAGCUUGCCAGUGUUUGGUGGCGUCACGGGUGUGAUAACUAUCUACGCUCGCGGUCGCCCGCCAGGUUACCCUCAGCGAUGAAGGUUCAUUGGGGCUCACAAACGUCUCUCCCCGGCGAAGACAACUUUUGAACGUUCGAUCUCAAAUCAGGUAGGACUACCCGCUGAACUUAAGCAUAUCAAUAAGCGGAGGA